GAUGAACGCUGGCGGCGUGCCUAAUACAUGCAAGUCGAGCGAACAGACGAGGAGCUUGCUCCUCUGACGUUAGCGGCGGACGGGUGAGUAACACGUGGAUAACCUACCUAUAAGACUGGGAUAACUUCGGGAAACCGGAGCUAAUACCGGAUAAUAUAUUGAACCGCAUGGUUCAAUAGUGAAAGACGGUUUUGCUGUCACUUAUAGAUGGAUCCGUGCCGCAUUAGCUAGUUGGUAGGGUAACGGCUUACCAAGGCAACGAUGCGUAGCCGACCUGAGAGGGUGAUCAGCCACACUGGAACUGAGACACGGUCCAGACUCCUACGGGAGGCAGCAGUGGGGAAUAUUGCACAAUGGGCGAAAGCUUGACGGAGCCACACCGCGUGAGUGAAGAAGGUCUUCGGGUCGUAAAGCUCUUUUGUUGGGGAAGAACAAAAGUGUGAGUAACUAUGCACGUCUUGACGGUACCUAAAGAGAAAGCCACGGCUAACUUCGUG
RNAcentral lists this ribosomal RNA (497 nucleotides) under uncultured bacterium. RNAcentral describes it as "partial 16S ribosomal RNA". It matches the Rfam family "Bacterial small subunit ribosomal RNA", at positions 28 to 507 of the family's 1533-position model. The record is from RNAcentral.